GAUGGUGACCAUAACUGUACAGAAGCACUAAACAACUGACAAUCUAACAAACAUUACUGGCCUGAGCCGUCAUGCACAGUGAGUCUGAUCCUGUGCUGUGAGAGUCUGACAAGCAUGUUUCUGGUCAGUUUGGAAGAAAUAAUAUCACAAUGUUGAUCUUUUUUUAAUAUUCGUUUUACAACAUAAACUGUGAUCAAAGCUACUUAUGUUCACAGCAUGUAAUAAUAGUGACAGUCCAGGGCAUUGUGGUCUGUUGAGCUAGGGUUAGGGUUAGCAAUUCAGACAUAUGUAAUCAAUUUUACUCUUGCUGGAACAAACGCCUAGGAAUUUGUAUUAUAAUUCAUGAAAUAUUCAUAUUUAGUAUCAGUCGUUUUAUAUUAUAACCACGUAUCCACCCAGGCUCAUGGUGGGGCAGGGCUCUGUCCUGGGAUCCUUGAGUGAAAGCUAAUGUACACCCUGACCAGGUAUCCAGUCUGUCACAGUUGUUUUCAAUAUUUGGUUCUAAAAUAUGAGUGAAAACAAAAAUCCAACUAGGAUUCGACCCGUAGAGGGGGGGUACUGUCACGGACCCAGCUCCAGGGAUUCGGGGUCCGUGAGCAGUGUGGACUACUAUUGUAGUUAUUAUUAUUUUUAUUAUUAUUAUUGUUAUUAUUGUUAUUAUGGUUGUGUCUGCUGUCCUGUGUUCCAUGUUUGUGUACUGUCAGGUGUUUAUGGGUGUGUGCAUGUGUGUGAGGGUGCGGUCGUGGCAGGCACUUUUAGGCCUGGUGGGUGUGGCCCUGCCAGCUGACCGGUCACACCCAGGAAUCCACGCACACAUGGCGCCGAUCAAGCCUCGUCAGAGGAGCUUCAAAACAGUGUGGCUGAGAGCUCCUCGACGCUGGAUCGUUGAGUGACUUCCCGAGGAAUUGUGGCGACCAGGAGGCAGUACACAGGGAACGGAGACAGAGCACGGAGCACGGGAUAAGGGACAAGACACGGAACAGGAGUCGGGAUCGCACGGGGGAUUUAUUGUUGUUUGGAUUUUCACCACUGUAAAUAAACGCACUGCCUUCGUCAUCAAGUCCUGCAUUUUGGGUCCUCAUUCCUCACAUCCCCACGGUCUGCCUGCCAGACCGUGACACAUAUGAUGGAUGAAGUCUGUCUUUGACUGUAUUGUCCAGCUGAUCCAUCAAACCCCCAGCAGGUAAACCUUAUCAUGACAUAACACAGUAACAGUAAGUAAUGUAAAAAAUUAAACAGCAACAGUCUUCAUCAUUAAA
Long non-coding RNA from Oreochromis niloticus (Nile tilapia), 1259 nucleotides. RefSeq lists it as uncharacterized. The transcript is spliced from 2 exons. Lineage: Eukaryota; Metazoa; Chordata; Actinopteri; Cichliformes; Cichlidae. The record is from RefSeq and is a predicted model, not a curated record.